This is a non-coding RNA of Potamilus streckersoni, 69 nucleotides long. Lineage: Eukaryota; Metazoa; Mollusca; Bivalvia; Unionida; Unionidae. The record is from the annotation of a GenBank genome assembly.
GCUGGCCUAAGUGGUUAGAGCGUUCGCUUUGGAUGCAGGAUGUCGUGGGUUCGAAACCCAGCUAAAUCA